AUGCUUCCCGCACUGAGCAACCACCCUCUACACAGUCAGGAUCGUCAAACGCACACUUUGGUUGGGGCUGGCCCUUGCCGCCAUGACUCUCAGGGUCUUUGGGAGCUAGACUGGCUUCAUGUUCCUUCCGCUACCACCACUAUCGCGAGUCCAUCCGCUUCUGUCGCUUCAGCUAUUGGCUCCUUCCAGCAGUGGCAUCAUCGACUUGGUCAUCUUUGUGGGUCUCGCUUGUCGUCAUUAGUUCGUCGAGGUCUUCUGGGGUCUGUCUCAGGAGAUGUCUUUUUAGAGUGUCAGGGCUGUAGACUAGGAAAACAGAUUCAGUUACCUUACCCUACUAGUGAGUCGGUGUCUCAGCCUCCUUUUGAUUUAGUCCAUUCUGAUGUAUGGGGUCCGGCUCCCUUCGCUUCGAAAGGGGGCCAUCGAUACUAUAUUAUUUUCAUAGAUGAUUUCUCUCGUUACACUUGG
Molecule: ribosomal RNA, 465 nt
Filed under: Triticum aestivum (bread wheat)
Lineage: Eukaryota; Viridiplantae; Streptophyta; Magnoliopsida; Poales; Poaceae
Description: partial small subunit ribosomal RNA
Source: RNAcentral